This 72-nucleotide transfer RNA is filed under the name Bos taurus (domestic cattle). It matches the Rfam family "tRNA". Rfam says of the family: Transfer RNA (tRNA) molecules are approximately 80 nucleotides in length. Their secondary structure includes four short double-helical elements and three loops (D, anti-codon, and T loops). RNAcentral also lists the same sequence under 5 other names. The record is from Rfam by way of RNAcentral. Lineage: Eukaryota; Metazoa; Chordata; Mammalia; Artiodactyla; Bovidae.
UCCCUGGUGGCUUAGUGGUAAAGAAUCUGCCUGCCAAUGCAGGAGACAUGGGUUCGAUUCCUGGUCUGGGAA